AAUGGAGUUAAACAAAAAUGUCAGAAUGUCAGACAAAAUGCACGAACUGCGUAUUUUGUUGUGCUAAUUUCAGUCUAUAAUUAAAAAUUAUGUUUGUAAAUGUGUAAAUAAUUAACGAAUCCCUUUUUGUUUUAUUUUUUGAACAAAUUCUGUGAUUUUGAUCGAACAUUUUGGUGUGGAUGUGAAGUGUAAAUAUAAUGUACGAACGGGCAUCGAUUCUUUGUGAUUUGUUUUAGAAAUAUUUCACAAAAGAUUACAAACAUCGGAGUUAACCCACCAAACAAACAUAGACAUGGUAGUUCGCCGGUCGAACCUUACAUGUGCAAGUUGAUACAACGAGACGAUGGGACAACAGACGUCUAGGAAGAGCGGGGAGUGCACUUGCGGGUGCGGUGCGUGGGAGCGGCGCCGGUACGCGGAGUCUCCCAGUAGCGUGCACAGAUACGUCAGCGCGGUCACUGACAGAUGGAGCGGGCGCGAGUGCGCGUGUCGCCGGCGACGGUGGCGCCGCCCCGCGUGUGUGUGCACGGCCUACAGACGCGUCAGUGACGAUAGACUGGCGGCAGUACUGACACUUGGUGCUAGAGACCUGAGGCGGGAGCUGGACGCGAUUGUCAUAAAUACAGAUGGUGACACGAGCAGAGAGAGCGGUGAGCCCACCGCGGAAGUAUAUGUGUUAUCCGUUGCACCCAGGACAGCGGAAGGAGAGAGUUCCCAAGAGAGGAGGACGGAGUUGACGCAGACUAACGAUGCCAUACGGCUGCACCCGCACUUCCAGGUGGUGUGUGGCGGCGAGCUGCGUGCACUACUACUGCGCGGCGCGGCGCUGCCCAACGUGCAGCCCCCACCCGCCGCCAGGGUACACACGCAGGUGGACUACAUCCACUGCCUGGUGCCGGACCUGAAGGAGAUCACGGCGUGCUCCUUCUACUGGGGCAAGAUGGACCGCUACGAGGCCGAGCGCCUGCUCGACAACAAGCCCGAAGGUACGUUCCUCCUCCGAGACUCCGCCCAGGAGGAGCACCUGUUCAGCGUGUCGUUCCGCAAGUACGGGCGCUCGCUGCACGCGCGCAUCGAGCACUACCAGCACACCUUCAGCUUCGACUCGCACGACCCCGCCGUCUUCGCCGCGCCCACCGUCACCAAGCUCAUCGAGCAUUACAAGGACCCCGCGUGCGUGAUGUUCUUCGAGCCGAUGCUGACGGCGCCGCUGCCGCGCAGCGAGCCGUUCUCGCUGCAGCAACUGGCGCGGGCAGUCAUCGUCUCGCACACUAGCUACGACGGAGUGGAGAAGCUCCCCUCCCGCCCCGCCUGCGGCUGUACCUCAAGGAGUACCACUACAGACAAAGGGUCCGCAUUCGACGCCUGGAGCCGGACCUGUACGAGCACCACCACUGCUAGCGCCGCUGGUAUAUAUACCGAUAUGUUAUACAUAUAUAUGUGUUACACAACGCCCCAGAUUAUGUAGUAAUGGUCGAAUAGUCAUGUUUUGAAAGUCAAAUAUUCCUUAAAAAAGCCGACUUUAUCUCUUAAUUUUUUGUUUCUAAAAUUGUUGAUUUAUGUACUAAAUUCUGUUCCUAAGUGUAAUAGACACGUUUCUGAAAAUCACAUUCAAAAUGGGUUCAGCUGAUCGUGAGAUAAUCGCAGACAUACAUACAAGUUAAACUGAGAAACUCCUACUUUUGUUGAAGUCGGUCAAAAAUUUGGCUAAUUUUAGUUCAAGUUAUGAAAGAUUCUAUGUGUUUUGUUAUAAGGCCUAUAGUUGCCUGAAAUAUAGAAUAAAAUAAAUAUUAAAAAUGUUCCAUUAUAGACAGUUUUUGUAAAACUAAAUUGACCUAUCGAAGCAUGACUAUAAACAAAUACAUGUCGCAAACCUAUUUUGAAACCUAUAUCUAUUGGAAUAGGUGUUAAAAUAUUUUGAUUUACAUCUUGACGUGUAAUACGGGGGCACAUUGGCUUUAGUUUGAAAUGACAAGUUUAUUGAAAUAUCGAGGUAUUGUUAUAGUAAAGAAAGUGGAUCAAAAACUGUCUGUAA
Spodoptera frugiperda (fall armyworm) is the source of this 2035-nucleotide RNA transcript. It is a transcript of the gene named suppressor of cytokine signaling 5, with no coding region annotated. The record is from RefSeq and is a predicted model, not a curated record. The transcript is spliced from 13 exons. Lineage: Eukaryota; Metazoa; Arthropoda; Insecta; Lepidoptera; Noctuidae.